GUUACACAUCUCGCAGCGAGCAACAUAAUCACAGCCACAGUUCAAAAUGUGGAGUUGCUUUGGGAAAGAGAAAUGGUGAGCGAAGGUCCCAUGGCGAGCAUUGAAAGUCGGCUUACAGCACUAUUAUAUAUCUCAAACGAAAGGCAGCACGAACGAUUCGUCCGAAGAGGAAUGCUUCAAAAAUUAGACCAGCGGCAUCAUUCCAGCCGGUUAAACGUAACCGAGACGAUAGCAACGUAAUCAAUGUAAAGCAAGACGAAGAUGGCCGAUAAAGUAGUAAAAUCGCAAUCAGAGGCGUCGUUGAUUUUUGGCCACUUUUUACCAUGCAACGGAAGUAUUUAGAAAGGAUAAAAAACUAUAUUUAAUAAAUACGUGCGCCAAAAAUUUUUUUUUCGGCUUCACCCGAACUAAGA
This is a long non-coding RNA of Rhagoletis zephyria (snowberry fruit fly), 413 nucleotides long. RefSeq lists it as uncharacterized. Lineage: Eukaryota; Metazoa; Arthropoda; Insecta; Diptera; Tephritidae. The record is from RefSeq and is a predicted model, not a curated record.